Molecule: long non-coding RNA, 596 nt
Organism: Nematostella vectensis (starlet sea anemone)
Lineage: Eukaryota; Metazoa; Cnidaria; Anthozoa; Actiniaria; Edwardsiidae
Exons: 2
Source: RefSeq, a predicted model, not a curated record
CAGUGGAAAACCCGCGAUGCUGUCAACGGCGCAUUACUUACUGUAGUAGAUACGGAUUUCACACUUUUUCACGAUCUCAAAUUCAGUAUUAUCAGUUUGCGGAGCGAGAUUGUCCGGAAUCCAACAUAAACAGAAAACCGACCAACAGAAACCUCAGGCAGGGAAGGAGCAGUCACAAGAGCCAAAAGAAGAAGAGGAAGAGAAGCCCCCGGCCGCCAUUUUCGCGGGGAUGGAGCUGGAUUCGGAUUCAGAGGAUGAUGAUGUGGAUCCGGACCAAUUAAUCGAUGACUACCCGUUCACACUGGACACAGUCGAAGAUUAUUUUGACGCCAUCGCCGACGGAUACAUCCGUCUACACUAGUUAUAUUCAUAAACCACAAUUCUUAUCUCUCGUAAUUAUCGACGUUCCUCUUACAAUAUAUCUUAUUUUAUAAAAAAAUUAGUUUUUUUUCUGCAUUUCAAGGCUAUACGUAGUCUUUUAAUUUCUUCUGUCAGUAUGAGCGCCUAAACUUAGGGGAACUCGAUAGUUAAUUAAUCUGUUUUAUCAUUGUAGCCAAGUACAUGCAAUAUAAAUAAAUCCAUUGUAAUCACCCAAA